RNAcentral lists this non-coding RNA (84 nucleotides) under uncultured Aquitalea sp. The record is from RNAcentral. Lineage: Bacteria; Pseudomonadati; Pseudomonadota; Betaproteobacteria; Neisseriales; Chromobacteriaceae.
UCCAUGACGGGCCUUGGUGGGGAUACCCUCGGGUAUGCCGGUUGUUAGGUCCGGUUCGCCAACCCUCCCUUGCGCCCGCCACCU